UCUAUCCAAACCAAAAUAAAGAAAUGCGACAGCGCUGAAUGGUGAUGCGGUGGCACGUUCUCAAGUCUCGGUCCAGCUGCAAUCAGUCUUCGAAAGUCCUUGAAUGCACAGUGUUGUAGGGGUGCUGGCAGGGCAAUGGUCACACUGCAUCACUUGGAGGGGAGGGGAGAGGAAGCAGAGGAUGGGUGUAGAUGCUACGAGGCAUUCAGGGGGCGGGCAUUGUUUGGCUGGGGUUUUCUUUGGUUUGUUUUUGUUCACCUAUGCUUAACCACCAGAAGCAAGUAAAGCCCUUUAAAAUUCUCUCUGUCCUACACAAGUAGGGAUGCCCUUCAUCAGGAACUUGGAAGUGUCAAGUGGAAUCAAGGUGAAGCUUUAAAGGACCAUGGUCAUCAAAGAGACUUUCACCAUGCCCUGAAAAGGGACAGCCACCUGCAUACCUCGAAGGUUUGAAGUAGCCUUUGGCAUACACUGUAUGAACAACACCAUAGAGGCAGAAGACUACAUCGUGCCACUGUCUGGAAGCCAGAUACUGUCUGUACUGAAGGGUUUAGAGCCCUUUUUCCUUUGGCAAAAUAAGUGUAUGAUAGUGGUUUAAGGACAAGCACUCCAUUGACUCACUUUGUACACCCCGUGCAUGAAAAAUACUCCAGUUAAGUGUAUUGUCAAAACAUAGAUGUAGGAAAUAAUUCAUGUGUAAAGAUGUGCAUUAGUAACUUCAGCUUAGGGUUGGGAGGAGCUGUCUCAGCAUGAUUGCUAUCCAAAAAAGGGGUGCUUAUUUCCAUAGAGAUGGGAGUACUGGAGCAUCAGCAAAGGAGUGGGAAGGUGUUCUUCAGUCUGAGACUCUUCAUUUCAGUGACGUGACCCUGAGUCUGGCCCUGGAUCCAAACGUUGAGUGGAAAAGCGGGAAGCAGUAUGAUCUACAGGAUGUAAAGCACAACUGGAGAAAAACCCUGUGCUUCUGCUCCAAAAGUGGCUUGUUUCCAUGUGGAUGUUGCCUGGUUUCUUAUAGAGGAUAAGUAGGUGGUUCUGUGAGCUGCUGGAGGUAAACUGGGUUCGGAUGCCCGUCUCUCUGCCUUUCCAGUUGUCCCAUCAACUUCCCUUUGUGCCACUGAACCGUGCUUCCCCACCACAUGCCUGGGAAUGAAGCAGGGCAGGAGCGAGGGUGGUUCUGCUCCCCUGAGGCAGUGAAGGAGUGGGGUGGGAGAGGGGCUUGGCCACAGCCAGAGGAGGUGCAGGGACCACGGUGGGAGGCCCCAGGGCUGGGUUAAUGCUCCGAGUGGGUCUCGACAGUGGUUCCAGCCAGUUUCAAGUGGUGUCGGACCGGGGCUGCUCCGACUGCCCUGCACGGGGAGCAGCCACAGCACACGAGGGCUGGAACAGGGAAUGGCAGGUGCCACUUUGAAUGUCUGCUCCUGGUAAUCCUGGCUGCUGGGGGAUGAGAACCUGGAGGUGGGAAAAACAGCCUUCCACAGCAGCAAAGACAUCGCUGUUCGUCUGUCCCAGAGUUAAACCCAUCACAGGGAAACAUCCCAAUUGUCCCCUCCUGGCUUCUUUUAGUACCAAGCUUCAUUAUAGGAGUGUCUGUCUCAUGUACAGCCGUUUAUGCAACAUUGUUUAUAGAGGAAGGGCCUGUGCACUUCAGGGAUACUAUGAAGAAAAAUACUAAUAUAUGGUCAUUGAGUAUUUUGUAUUGAAUAGUGUAUUUGUAUUGUAAACAAGUGUAGUGAACCACAAGGCAUGAAGACAAAUAAAGUGACAGUAGCUGG
Molecule: long non-coding RNA, 1766 nt
Filed under: Serinus canaria (Common canary)
Lineage: Eukaryota; Metazoa; Chordata; Aves; Passeriformes; Fringillidae
Description: lncRNA (ENSSCAG00000015233.1)
Source: RNAcentral